GUAGGCACAGUUGAAAUUUUGCUGAUGUAUCAGGAGUGACAUGGCAGUGUUGGUAGGUAAUGUGCAAGUUGAUAUGGGAGGGGUAGUGCAAGUGCAGGUCUUGUGUGACUCACAGUAAGGAGUUGGGGUUUUGCCUUUGAAUCUAGGCACAAAUGGGACCCGACUUGAAAUGUUUAGGCUACUGGAGUGUUGGAUGGGAGCUCUGGUCGCUUGAAUGAGGUCGUUGGAUGUCAGCAAUGUGCAAAAAAAGCUUAGUUGUUAGGAGCUGCUAUGGAUCUAGCGAGUAACGAGUCAGGUUACCUUUGAGCCGUUUGGAUCUUAGAGUUCUAGCCAUUGUUUG
This 340-nucleotide unclassified non-coding RNA is filed under the name Hevea brasiliensis (rubber tree). Lineage: Eukaryota; Viridiplantae; Streptophyta; Magnoliopsida; Malpighiales; Euphorbiaceae. The record is from RNAcentral.